This 380-nucleotide ribosomal RNA is filed under the name uncultured eukaryote. RNAcentral describes it as "partial 18S ribosomal RNA". It matches the Rfam family "Eukaryotic small subunit ribosomal RNA", at positions 592 to 976 of the family's 1831-position model. The record is from RNAcentral.
CAAUAGCGUAUAUUAAAGUUGUUGCGGUUAAAAAGCUCGUAGUUGGAUUUCUGCCGAGGACGACCGGUCCGCCCUCUGGGUGUGUAUCUGGUUUGGCCUGGGCAUCUUCUUGGAGAACGUAGCUGCACUUGACUGUGUGGUGCGGUGUCCAGGACUUUUACUUUGAGGAAAUUAGAGUGUUUCAAGCAGGCACACGCCUUGAAUACAUUAGCAUGGAAUAAUAAGAUAGGACCUCGGUUCUAUUUUGAUGGUUUCUAGAGCUGAGGUAAUGAUUAAUAGGGAUAGUUGGGGGCAUUCGUAUUUAACUGUCAGAGGUGAAAUUCUCGGAUUUGUUAAAGACGGACUACUGCGAAAGCAUUUGCCAAGGAUGUUUUCAUUGA